GUGAGUCAUCGAAUCUUUGAACGCACAUUGCGCCCGCUAGUAUUCUGGCGGGCAUGCCUGUCCGAGCGUCAUUUCAACCCUCAAGCCCCUCCGGGAGGCCUGGCGUUGGGGAUCGGCCCCGCUCCGGCGGCCGGCCCCGAAAUGUAGUGGCGGUCUCGCCGCUGCCUCCUCUGCGUAGUAGAAACACCUCGCAUUGGGACGCGGCGGGCCCACGCCGUUAACCAGACGAAUUUUUUCAAGGUUGACCUCGGAUCAGGUAGGAAUACCCGCUGAACUUAAGCAUAUCAAUAAGCGGAGGA
The sequence is an unclassified non-coding RNA, 299 nucleotides long. The stretch from base 1 to 71 matches the Rfam family "5.8S ribosomal RNA", at positions 84 to 154 of the family's 154-position model.